CAAGUAGGCGGUCUGGCAAGUGAGGGGUGAAAUCUUCCGGCUCAAUCGGAAAACUGCCUUUCAAACUGCCAAACUUGAGGGAGGAAGAGGAGAAUGGAAUUCUCGGUGUAAGGGUGAAAUCUGUAGAUAUCGAGAAGAACACCAGCAGCGAAGGCGAUUCUCUGGUCCUCUCCUGACGCUGAAUUGCGAAAGCUAGGGGAGCAAACAGGAUUAGAUACCCUGGUAGUC
This 228-nucleotide ribosomal RNA is filed under the name uncultured bacterium. RNAcentral describes it as "partial 16S ribosomal RNA". It matches the Rfam family "Bacterial small subunit ribosomal RNA", at positions 568 to 795 of the family's 1533-position model. The record is from RNAcentral.